Molecule: ribosomal RNA, 609 nt
Filed under: Heterosigma akashiwo
Lineage: Eukaryota; Raphidophyceae; Chattonellales; Chattonellaceae
Description: partial Bacterial large subunit ribosomal RNA
Rfam family: Bacterial large subunit ribosomal RNA
Source: RNAcentral
CGAAAAGGGCGUUUGGUGAAUGCCUUGGCAGUAAGAGGCGAUGAAGGACGUGAUACUCUGCGAUAAGUCAUGGGGAGCUGAGAAUAAGCUUUGAUCCAUGAAUUUCUGAAUGGGGCAACCCACCUGAUACUUUGUUAUUAUUACCCUUCGGGGUGAUUAAUAAUGAGGUAAACCAGGUAUUUUUAACCUGAAUACAUAGGGUUAAAAAAGCAAACCCGGGGAACUGAAACAUCUAAGUACCCGGAGGAAAGGAAAUCAACAGAGACUCCCCUAGUAGCGGCGAGCGAACGGGGACCAGCCGAGCUGUGCGUGUGAUUAGAAUGGUCUGGAAAGGCCAACCAUAGUGGGUGACAGUCCCGUAUAAUAAGCACAAUCAGACGUAUUAAGUAGGGCGGAACACGUGAAAUCCUGUCUGAACAUGGGGGGACCACCCUCCAAGCCUAAAUACUCGUACAUGACCGAUAGCGAACACAGUACCGUGAGGGAAAGGUGAAAAGCACCCCGACGAGGGGAGUGAAACAGUACCUGAAACCGAACGCCUACAAUCAGUCGGAGCCCCCUUGCGGGGUGACGGCGUACCUUUUGUAUAAUGGGUCAUCGACUUAGUGU